This 75-nucleotide transfer RNA is filed under the name Paracoccaceae bacterium. Its description in RNAcentral is "Rhodobacteraceae bacterium (subsurface metagenome) tRNA-Gly". It matches the Rfam family "tRNA". From Rfam's summary of the family: Transfer RNA (tRNA) molecules are approximately 80 nucleotides in length. Their secondary structure includes four short double-helical elements and three loops (D, anti-codon, and T loops). Lineage: Bacteria; Pseudomonadati; Pseudomonadota; Alphaproteobacteria; Rhodobacterales; Paracoccaceae. The record is from RNAcentral.
GCGGGUAUCGUAUAGUGGUUAUUACGUUGGCUUCCCAAGCCUGAGAGGCGAGUUCGAUCCUCGCUACCCGCUCCA